UACGGGGGGGGCAAGCGUUGUUCGGAAUUACUGAGCGGAAAGGGCUCGUAGGCGGCCAACUAAGUCAGACGUGAAAUCCCUCGGCUUAACCGGGGAACUGCGUCUGAUACUGGAUGGCUUGAGUUUGGGAGAGGGAUGCGGAAUUCCAGGUGUAGCGGUGAAAUGCGUAGAUAUCUGGAGGAACACCGGUGGCGAAGGCGGCAUCCUGGACCAACACUGACGCUGAGUGAGCGAAAGCCAGGGGAGCAAACGGG
Molecule: ribosomal RNA, 254 nt
Filed under: uncultured bacterium
Lineage: Bacteria
Description: partial 16S ribosomal RNA
Rfam family: Bacterial small subunit ribosomal RNA
Source: RNAcentral